Molecule: ribosomal RNA, 519 nt
Filed under: uncultured eukaryote
Lineage: Eukaryota
Description: SSU rRNA
Rfam family: Eukaryotic small subunit ribosomal RNA
Source: RNAcentral
AGGGCACCACCAGGAGUGGAGCCUGCGGCUUAAUUUGACUCAACACGGGAAAACUCACCCGGCCCGGACACUGAAAGGAUUGACAGAUUGAGAGCUCUUUCUUGAUUCAGUGGGUGGUGGUGCAUGGCCGUUCUUAGUUGGUGGAGCGAUUUGUCUGGUUAAUUCCGAUAACGAACGAGACUCUUGCCUACUAAAUAGAUCGCCGGUUUACAAACACCGGUGAGACUUCUUAGAGGGACAGGCGGCGAUUCAGCCGCACGAAACAGAGCAAUAACAGGUCUGUGAUGCCCUUAGAUGUCCGGGGCCGCACGCGCGCUACACUGAAGUGAUCAGCGUGCAUUUUAAGCCUACUCUGCCAAGAGUGGGAAACCCAAUGAACCUUCUUCGUGAUUGGGAUAGGGGAUUGUAAUUAUUCCCCUUGAACGAGGAAUUCCCAGUAAGCGCGAGUCAUAAGCUCGCGUUGAUUACGUCCCUGCCCUUUGUACACACCGCCCGUCGCUACUACCGAUUGAAUGUUUU